This 498-nucleotide ribosomal RNA is filed under the name uncultured bacterium. RNAcentral describes it as "partial 16S ribosomal RNA". It matches the Rfam family "Bacterial small subunit ribosomal RNA", at positions 28 to 523 of the family's 1533-position model. The record is from RNAcentral.
GAUGAACGCUAGCGGCAGGCCUAAUACAUGCAAGUCGAGGGAGAAUGUUGGAUUCGUCUGACAUGAAACCGGCGCACGGGUGCGUAACACGUAUGCAACCUACCUUUAACUGGGGUAUAGCUCAGAGAAAUCUGAAUUAAUCCCCCAUAAGACUACGACAUGGCAUCAUGAUGUAGUUAAAGCUCCGGCGGUUAAGGAUGGGCAUGCGGUACAUUAGCUAGUUGGUGAGGUAAUGGCUCACCAAGGCUACGAUGUAUAGGGGGUCUGAGAGGAUGAUCCCCCACACUGGUACUGAGACACGGACCAGACUCCUACGGGAGGCAGCAGUAGGGAAUAUUGGUCAAUGGACGCAAGUUUGAACCAGCCAUGCCGCGUGAAGGAUGAAGGCCCUAUGGGUCGUAAACUUCUUUUAUUUGGGAAUAAACCUCUUUACGUGUAGAGAGCUGAAGGUACCAAAUGAAUAAGCACCGGCUAACUCCGUGCCAGCAGCCGCCGUAA